AUUUUGUUGUUUCAACAAUUUUGCCCUCCUUGAAAUCCUUGUUUCAGAAGGAGAAAAAAAUGUCUCAUAAUCAAGCAGAGAUGGAUGAACAAGCUGCAAGAGAGAAGGCCCUUGAAGAAUGGCUUACAAUCACUUCGUCAAGAACUGCCAAAUGGUGGUACUCUGCAUUCCAUAAUGUCACGGCCAUGGUAGGAGCCGGCAUCCUCAGCUUUCCAUAUGAUGGGGUCCCGAGGUGACCAUGUUAGUCCUGUCAUGGAUUGUCACCCUGUACAUGUGGCAAAUAGUUGAGAUGCACGAAAUGGUUCCUGGUAAGCGGUUCGAUAGAUACCAUGAAUUAGGCCAGCAUGCGUUUGGUGAAAAGCUUGGGCUCUGUAUUGUUGUACCCCAACAGCUUAUUGUGGAAGUUGGCACGUGCAUAGUCUAUAUGGUCACUGGAGGAAAUCAUUGAAGAAAUUCCAUGAAUCAGUUUGCCCCAACUGUGCACCAAUCAAGACCACUUACUUCAUCAUAUUUUCGCUUCUGCUAACUUUGUUCUCUCUCAUCUGCCCAACUUUAACUCCAUUUCUGUCGUCUCCUUGGCCGCAGCUGUAAUGUCCUUGAGUUACUCUACCAUUGCUUGGGCAGAGCUUCGCUUAAAAAAGGAGUUCAAGACAAUGUGAGCUAUGCUCCAAUAUCUAAAACCACAUCCGGAAACGUUUUUCACUUCUUCAGCGCCUUGGGUGAUGCAUUUGCCUUUGCCGGUCACAAUGUGGUAUUGGAGAUCCAAGCAACAAUUCCUUCCACCCCUGAAAAACCUUCCAAGAAACCGAUG
This is a long non-coding RNA of Cornus florida, 811 nucleotides long. RefSeq lists it as uncharacterized. The record is from RefSeq and is a predicted model, not a curated record. NCBI's taxonomy places the organism in Eukaryota, Viridiplantae, Streptophyta, Magnoliopsida, Cornales, Cornaceae. The transcript has 3 exons.